GUAGUCUCGCACAGAUGCAUAUCAAUAAGCGGAGGAAAAGAAACUAACAAGGAUUCCCUUAGUAACGGCGAGUGAAGCGGGAAGAGCUCAAAUUUGAAAUCUUCAAGGUUUUACCUUGACGAAUUGUAGUUUAAAGAAGUGUUUUCUGUUGAAGUUUUGGUAAAAGUUCUUUGGAAUAGGACAUCAUAGAGGGUGAGAAUCCCGUAUUUGACCAUUAUUUUCAGCUGUGUGAUACACUUUCAAAGAGUCGGAUUGUUUGGGAAUGCAGUCCAAAAUGGGUGGUAAAUUUCAUCUAAAGCUAAAUAUUGGCGAGAGACCGAUAGCGAACAAGUACCGUGAGGGAAAGAUGAAAAGAACUUUGAAAAGAGAGUUAAACAGUACGUGAAAUUGUCAAAAGGGAAGCGUUUGACACCAGUGUUGUUUUUCUGAAAAUCAAUUAAAAGAGUACUGAUUUAUGCUAGCUGUAUUAGACCUUUAAUCAGCUACUGCAUUUCAAUUUUUGAGCUUUUCUUUAAUGCACUUUUCAGUUUAACAAGUCAACAUCAGUUUCUUUUGCUGUAAAAAAGGUCAUUGAGGAAGGUGGCUUGAUUCGUCUGAGAAAGUGUUUAUAGCCUCUUGCCUAUGCAAUCGGAGAGAUUGAGGUCUGCAGCGUAGAUCCUUCGGGGUCUAGAUACAUUUGUGCUAAGUUAUAGCAUUUUUAUAGACAACUUGUUGACUAUGAUUAGUCUUGUAGCUUACUCGCUUAUGCUAUUUUACCUACGCUUAGGAUGUUGAGCGCAUGUCUCUCUCU
RNAcentral lists this ribosomal RNA (790 nucleotides) under uncultured Neocallimastigales. RNAcentral describes it as "partial large subunit ribosomal RNA". It matches the Rfam family "Eukaryotic large subunit ribosomal RNA", at positions 24 to 616 of the family's 3401-position model. Lineage: Eukaryota; Fungi; Neocallimastigomycota; Neocallimastigomycetes; Neocallimastigales. The record is from RNAcentral.